AUGGUGCAGUAUAAUUUCAAGAAGAUCACUGUUGUCCCUCCUGGGAAGGACUUCAUCGACAUAAUCUUGUCCCGCACUCAGAGGCAAACACCAACUGUUGUCCACAAGGGCUAUGCUAUCAACCGCAUUCGCCAGUUCUAUAUGCGCAAGGUUCGCUAUACCCAGCAGAACUUCUAUGAAAAGCUGUCCACCAUCAUCGAUGAGUUCCCCAGACUGGAUGACAUCCACCCUUUCUAUGGCGAUCUCCUUCAUGUGCUCUACAACAAGGAUCAUUACAAACUCGCCUUGGGUCAGAUCAAUACAGCUAGAAAUAUCAUUGCAAAGAUCUCCAAGGACUAUCUGAGGCUGCUCAAGUAUGGAGACACCCUGUACCGGUGCAAGUGCCUGAAGGUAGCUGCUCUCGGUCGCAUGUGUACUGUUCUAAAGCGUAUCAGUCCUAGUUUGGCAUACCUGGAGCAGAUCAGGCAGCACAUGGCCAGGCUUCCAUCAAUUGACCCAAACACCCGUACUAUCUUGAUUUGUGGGUAUCCAAAUGUUGGGAAGAGCUCUUUCAUGAACAAGGUUACAAGGGCUGAUGUGGACGUACAGCCUUAUGCUUUCACAACAAAAUCCCUUUUUGUUGGCCAUGCAGAUUACAAGUAUCUGCGGUACCAAGUGAUUGACACUCCUGGGAUCCUUGAUCGGCCUUUUGAGGACAGGAACAUCAUAGAAAUGUGCAGUAUCACCGCUCUCGCCCACUUGAGGGCUGCUGUGCUGUUCUUCUUGGACAUCUCUGGUUCUUGUGGGUACACUAUUGCUCAGCAAGCUGCACUCUUCCACAGUAUAAAAUCCUUGUUCAUGAAUAAGCCUCUGGUCAUUGUGUGCAACAAGACUGAUUUGCAGCCGCUUGAUGGGCUUUCUGAAGAUGACAUGAAGCUAGUAAUGGAGAUGAAGUCAGAGGCUAUGAAGACUAUACCUCAAGGUGGAGAUCCUAGUGAAGAGGGUGUUUUGUUGACUAUGAGUGCUUUAACAGAUGAGGGUGUGAUGGCUGUUAAAAAUGCUGCAUGUGAGAGGCUUCUUGAGCAGAGGGUGGAGAUCAAGAUGAAAUCAAAGAAGAUCAAUGACUGCUUAAACAGGUUUCAUGUUGCUAUGCCCAAGCCUCGUGACAACAGAGAUAGGCCUACUUGCAUUCCUCAGGCUGUUCUUGAAGCUCAAGCGAUUGCUGCUGCAAAGGAAAAGAAGAAACUUGAGAGGGACCUUGAGAAUGAGAAUGGAGGUGCUGGUGUCUAUUCCGCCAGUCUCAAAAAGCAUUACUUGUUGGCUGAUGAUGAAUGGAAGGAAGAUAUUCUCCCUGAGAUAUUGGAUGGGCAUAAUGUUGCUGAUUUCCUGGAUCCGGAUAUCUUGGAAAGGUGUGAGGAGCUGGAAAGGGAGGAGGGUCUUCGUCUUGAAGAAGAAGCUGCUCAGGAUGCUUUCAUGAUUGAUGGCCAUGAUGAGUUAACUGAAGAACAGCGUGAGAUAUUGGGUAAGAUUAGGAAGAAGAAGGCAAUGCUCAUCCAAGAGCAUAGGAUGAAAAAGAGUACUGCAGAGAGCCGUCCUAUUGUUCCAAGGAAGCAUGACAAGGAUAGGAAAUUCACAACCAAGAGACUGGGCAGGCAACUCACAUCCAUGGGUGUUGAUCCUACUGCCGCUGUGAACCGACUUCGCAGCCAGUCAAGAGGCCGUAAGCGUGAGAGGUCACUGAGCAGAGCUGAUGGUGACGACGCUAUGGACGUUGAUGGCCAGCACUCCGACAAGAAGCUGCGUACGAGGUCGAGGUCUAGGUCCAAAUCACGACCAAUUGAAGAGGUUGUACCAGGUGACGGGAUCCGGGACGUUGCUCAAAAGAAGAAGGCCAUCAAGAAAUAA
RNAcentral lists this ribosomal RNA (1884 nucleotides) under Triticum aestivum (bread wheat). Its description in RNAcentral is "partial small subunit ribosomal RNA". The record is from RNAcentral. Lineage: Eukaryota; Viridiplantae; Streptophyta; Magnoliopsida; Poales; Poaceae.